AUUUAUAUAGUUUAAUAAUAAAACAAUACAUUUUCAUUGUAUAAAUAAUAUAUAUAUAUUUAUAAAUA
RNAcentral lists this transfer RNA (68 nucleotides) under Ruidocollaris convexipennis. RNAcentral describes it as "tRNA-Glu". Lineage: Eukaryota; Metazoa; Arthropoda; Insecta; Orthoptera; Tettigoniidae. The record is from RNAcentral.